RNAcentral lists this ribosomal RNA (325 nucleotides) under uncultured eukaryote. RNAcentral's name for it is "partial 18S ribosomal RNA". It matches the Rfam family "Eukaryotic small subunit ribosomal RNA", at positions 1470 to 1796 of the family's 1831-position model. The record is from RNAcentral.
CCCUUAGAUGUCCUGAGCCGCACGCGCGCUACACUGAUGCAUUCAACGAGUUUUACCUUGGCCGAGAGGCCUGGGCAAUCUUUUAAACCUGCAUCGUGAUAGGGAUAGAUUAUUGCAAUUAUUAAUCUUGAACGAGGAAUUCCUAGUAAACGCAGAUCAUCAAUCUGCAUUGAUUACGUCCCUGCCCUUUGUACACACCGCCCGUCGCACCUACCGAUUGAAUGGUCCGGUGAAGCCUCGGGAUUGUGGCCAGUUCACUUUAUUGGGAGUUGGCUGCGAGAACUUGUCUAAACCUUAUCAUUUAGAGGAAGGUGAAGUCGUAACA